This is a non-coding RNA of Oryctolagus cuniculus (rabbit), 46 nucleotides long. NCBI's taxonomy places the organism in Eukaryota, Metazoa, Chordata, Mammalia, Lagomorpha, Leporidae. The record is from Rfam.
ACACAGGCUUUGUUGAAAGCCAUCAUUUUUAUACAUGGAUUUUUCU